This 497-nucleotide ribosomal RNA is filed under the name uncultured bacterium. RNAcentral's name for it is "partial 16S ribosomal RNA". It matches the Rfam family "Bacterial small subunit ribosomal RNA", at positions 28 to 507 of the family's 1533-position model. The record is from RNAcentral.
GAUGAACGCUGGCGGCGUGCCUAAUACAUGCCAGUCGAGCGAACAGACGAGGAGCUUGCUCCUCUGACGUUAGCGGCGGACGGGUGAGUAACACGUGGAUAACCUACCUAUAAGACUGGGAUAAAUUCGGGAAACCGGAGCUAAUACCGGAUAAUAUAUUGAACCGCAUGGUUCAAUAGUGAAAGACGGUUUUGCUGUCACUUAUAGAUGGAUCCGCGCCGCAUUAGCUAGUUGGUAAGGUAACGGCUUACCAAGGCGACGAUGCGUAGCCGACCUGAGAGGGUGAUCGGCCACACUGGAACUGAGACACGGUCCAGACUCCUACGGGAGGCAGCAGUAGGGAAUCUUCCGCAAUGGGCGAAAGCUUGACGGGGCAACGCCGCGUGAGUGAUGAAGGUCUUCGGAUCGUAAAACUCUGUUAUUAGGGAAGAACAAAUGUGUAAGUAACUAUGCACGUCUUGACGGUACCUAAUCAGAAAGCCACGGCUAACUACGUG